Molecule: ribosomal RNA, 102 nt
Filed under: Telluria antibiotica
Lineage: Bacteria; Pseudomonadati; Pseudomonadota; Betaproteobacteria; Burkholderiales; Oxalobacteraceae
Source: RNAcentral
UAGCAAGUCGGUACCACCCCUUCCCAUCCCGAACAGGACCGUGAAACGACUUUGCGCCGAUGAUAGUGCUGCAACCAGUGUGAAAGUAGGUUAUCGUCAGGC